RNAcentral lists this ribosomal RNA (644 nucleotides) under Trichoderma sp. Its description in RNAcentral is "SSU rRNA". It matches the Rfam family "Eukaryotic small subunit ribosomal RNA", at positions 565 to 1212 of the family's 1831-position model. The record is from RNAcentral. Lineage: Eukaryota; Fungi; Ascomycota; Sordariomycetes; Hypocreales; Hypocreaceae.
UUUCAGCAGGCCCCGGUAAUUCCAGCUCCAAUAGCGUAUAUUAAAGUUGUUGUGGUUAAAAAGCUCGUAGUUGAACCUUGGGCCUGGCUGGCCGGUCCGCCUCACCGCGUGCACUGGUCCGGCCGGGCCUUUCCCUCUGCGGAACCCCAUGCCCUUCACUGGGUGUGGCGGGGAAACAGGACUUUUACUUUGAAAAAAUUAGAGUGCUCAAGGCAGGCCUAUGCUCGAAUACAUUAGCAUGGAAUAAUAGAAUAGGACGUGUGGUUCUAUUUUGUUGGUUUCUAGGACCGCCGUAAUGAUUAAUAGGGACAGUCGGGGGCAUCAGUAUUCAAUUGUCAGAGGUGAAAUUCUUGGAUUUAUUGAAGACUAACUACUGCGAAAGCAUUUGCCAAGGAUGUUUUCAUUAAUCAGGAACGAAAGUUAGGGGAUCGAAGACGAUCAGAUACCGUCGUAGUCUUAACCAUAAACUAUGCCGACUAGGGAUCGGACGAUGUUACAUUUUUGACGCGUUCGGCACCUUACGAGAAAUCAAAGUGCUUGGGCUCCAGGGGGAGUAUGGUCGCAAGGCUGAAACUUAAAGAAAUUGACGGAAGGGCACCACCAGGGGUGGAGCCUGCGGCUUAAUUUGUCCCCCACCCGGGGAA